This 471-nucleotide ribosomal RNA is filed under the name uncultured bacterium. RNAcentral describes it as "bacterial SSU rRNA". It matches the Rfam family "Bacterial small subunit ribosomal RNA", at positions 40 to 507 of the family's 1533-position model. The record is from RNAcentral.
CGGCAGGCUUAACACAUGCAAGUCGAGGGGCAGCACGGGUAGCAAUACCUGGUGGCGACCGGCGCAAGGGUGCGUAACGCGUGAGCAACAUGCCCUAUACAGGGGGAUAAUCCAGGGAAACUUGGUCUAAUAUCCCAUAGUAUUUAGAGGAGGCAUCUUCUAUAAAUUAAAGCUUCGGUGGUAUAGGAUUGGCUCGCGUGACAUUAGCUAGAUGGUGAGGUAACGGCUCACCAUGGCAAUGAUGUCUAGGGGUUCUGAGAGGAAGGCCCCCACACUGGGACUGAGACACGGCCCAGACUCCUACGGGAGGCAGCAGUGAGGAAUAUUGGACAAUGGAUGGAAAUCUGAUCCAGCCAUGCCGCGUGCAGGAAGACAGCCCUAUGGGUUGUAAACUGCUUUUAUAUGGGAGCAAUAAGGUCUACGUGUAGACUGAUGAGAGUACCAUAUGAAUAAGCAUCGGCUAACUCCGUG